RNAcentral lists this ribosomal RNA (386 nucleotides) under uncultured bacterium. Its description in RNAcentral is "bacterial SSU rRNA". It matches the Rfam family "Bacterial small subunit ribosomal RNA", at positions 28 to 416 of the family's 1533-position model. The record is from RNAcentral.
GAUGAACGCUGGCGGCGUGCCUAAUACAUGCAAGUCGAACGGUGUAUCGCAAGAUACAUAGUGGCGAACGGGUGAGUAACGCGUUGGUGACCUGCCCCGAAGAGUGGGAUACCAGUUCGAAAGGACUGCUAAUACCGCAUGCGGUUGAAGAGACCAGAGGCUUAUCAACCAAAGGAGACAUUCGCUUCGGGAGGGGCCUGCGUCCCAUCAGCUAGUUGGCAGGGUAACGGCCUACCAAGGCGAUGACGGGUAGGGGACCUGAGAGGGUGGCCCCCCACAAUGGAACUGAACACGGUCCAUACACCUACGGGUGGCAGCAGUAGGGAAGUAUUGCAAAAUAGGGCGGCAAGCCCGACUGCAGCAACGCCGCGUGGGCGAUGAAGGCC